UAAUUAGCAAAAUGAUAAUCUGAUCUCAAUUUUUUUUUUCUUUCUGCAGAAUCCAUUUGCUUAAAAUAGAACCAAUUGCAAAGCACAAAUCCAGAGAUCUCACAUUAUUAGCUCUCUUAAUCCAAAUCUAUGGGGAUUCAAAACAUUCUUACCAUAGAAAAUACUAGAGGAGAAGAAACAUGCGUUAGUAUUAUGGUUUUACAAAUUUUUACAUCAGUUUGCAAUCAAACAUUUCUUGAGCUUAUAAUUCAACUCUUUGACUGCACCCCUUGAGCUGCUAAGUAUGCUGUCCAAUAGUAUGUAUGAGGAGCAAGCCGCCAAGACCCUGGUGAUUGUUUAGUUUUUAGCAUUUAUAUUUGUAUUUUGUUUGCUACAUUCAUAUCAAUUAUCAACUAGGCUGCGAUUCUAAUGUGCUGCAGAAUCCUACACAGACAAACAAGAUGACAAGUGAGAACAUCUCAGAAUAUAGGAAAGCCCAAAUAGUAAUGAGGAGUUCCAUUGCAAACACAAGUCAUUGCGCAUGGUAACUGUGGUAGACGCAUUGGAUGCUGUAAUAGUUGCCAGAAUGAACCAUAAUCAGGAAUAUGCUAUGUAAUAUCGAAGCCAAGCACAAGAACACAAUUCAAAUAGUUUCUUGAAACACAAUUAAGAGAUCACAAGGCAUGAGAAGAAGAAUAUCAUUAUGGAAUAGUUUCUUGAAACACAAUUAAGAGAUCACAAGGCAUGAGAAGAAGAAUAUCAUUAUGGAAUAGUUUCUUGAAACACAAUUAAGAGAUCACAAGGCAUGAGAAUAAGAAUAUCAUUAUGGAAUUCUAGAAAAAAAAAAUCAUGCAAUUCAUUUGUAUUUUGUUCCAUGCAAUAAAAUUAAGUUCAAUGUUCUAAACAUGAAAUGGUAAAAGUGUGCGAAAACUGUUGGACCCACUUCUAAACAAAAAGGAUAAAAGAAAAGAAAAAGGGAAAACUCUUAUGCUUGAAAAACCGUAACGGUUAUGGUUAGGAUGUCCAACAUAAGCACGUGGCUUGCUUAUAAGGUUUGCAGCUCAAGUCAGGACAAAGGCAAGUUCUUUAUACUUAGAUGACAAACUUUAUUGCUAAAAAACUGGCAAAAUGGUUAAACAGCAUCACAUUGCAAGGUUAUAUGGAUAAGCAUACCUAUUUGUUCCCUUCUCGGCAUGGUAUCAUUUAACUUGAGAAUUGAGACUUCGCAGCUUGAAGCAUUUCCACAACUAGAGUCUUCACAUCCUUUCUCUCUUCUGCACGUCUAGGAAAAGGAAUCCGAAGCUUGUAAGUAUUUCCUUGAUAAGCAGCCUAGAAGAAGAAAUGUGAAGUCAAAACAUUAAAUAGAGGGGAAGAGGAACAGUUAAUCUUGAGUUCAGAAAAUACCUAAAUGACAAAGUAGUGGCAUAGUGAAACAGUCUCGAAAAAAGUUAAUCUCAAAUUAUGCCCGUUAUUAAAGAAGAAAAUACAUAAGCUUAACGUUGAAUCCAAGACUAUCAGUGUCUAGCAUGUAGGCAGAGUCCACCGCAAUUGAUGUUGAAUGUUGGACAAUGAGCCUUGUAUCUUCAGCAUGAUCUCUAUUCAUAUGAGAUGCAAUGGGUUUAGAAAACUGAGCUAUUGGAUCAAUUUUAGCAGCCUGAUAUUCUUCUUUGCUAAAUUCUCCUGAUCCAUGUAAAGCAGUUGCAACUCCUGACACAUAUCGCACAACUUUUGGUUCAAUGCGAAUGAAUUGGAAGUCACCAAAGUCAACCCAUGAUGCAUUGGGAUGCUUUGCCAGAUAUGCAGUUCGAAUGGUACUUCUAUCCUUCUCAGAAACAGAAACAGCAUCACCCUGCAGGGCGAUUACCAAAUCAGUCCUAUCCUCCAGAUCUUUAGCAACAAGCAAUGAGCAUCUGGGAUUAGCUAAGAGGUCCUUUGCAUGAUUUGCCAAGCUGCUCACUGCUAAUAUCAAAGUUCCAUCGACAUCACAUGCGAAAUCAACCAUUGACGCCGAUGGAUAACCCACAAGCUUCUGAGAAAAAGUUGAAAGCACGCCUCGCGCACUGUAAUAAAGCACAGUUCUAAUUUCCUCAACCGGAGGAAGUCGAGCAGCCUUUUCCUGGUGAGUUUGUAUCAACUGAAACACAUUGGCGUCACUAUUAACAUCCCCAGGUGACACAGCCUGAGUGGAUGGCGGAGUUACAGAGGCCAUGGAAGGAGAGCGACGAUGACUGGGAGUCUGCGAGAGAAAAAGGGGUGGCAAAAUGGUAAUAAGGGAAGAGAAAGGUGGGUUUUGCUGACAUUUACGCAGGUAAAAAUAGGGAAUGAGAACGACACCACCACACCAUAGUCCUCAUUUUUUUUCCAAUUCCACCCUUUUUUUCCAAUAUUUACGCCAAGUUAUCCUUUUUCAGCAAAUUUUCUAACUUCUGAAGGUUUGAAAAUGGAGCAGAUUUUUCAAUUAAUAUAUUCAUAAUGGUGAUAUUUAAUAAUUGUUCAAUUAAUAAGUUUCCAUUUUUUUUAGUCCGAAAAUGGUUAUCAAUAUCCCGAACAGCAGUAGGACAAUACGACCCCAAAGGCAAACACUUAAAACAAGUUUGAUCGAUACACAAACAAACAAACAAAAAGAUUCCAGCUUCUCAAGAAUGCAGUAUCUGAAAUCCAAAUCCAAUACAAUCCCAUCUCUUUACAUGAUCAAUAAACAUCGUUUAAUUUCCCUUCUCAGAUAAUUCCCAUUGAUAAUAAUAAGAUUUACAAAUACAAGAAAAUAAAUAGGUAUCUGAAAAAAUUGAUGCAAGAACUCAAUCGGAGUGGGAAUCAUCGUCGUCGUCGUUGAAAUCGAAAUCGGACAGAUUGGCAGGGUUGGGAUUGUAGCAGAGAUAGUUCCAGAGAUAGAGAGCGAGACGACCCAAAUGGUGGAGAGGAAAGCAGAAGAGCAAAUUCAAGACUUGGUCGCUGCUUAGCCGCUCUGGAUUGCAUGCUAUGUAUUGGCAUAGAUUAGCUGAUACAUUGGCAACGGUCACAACCAGACUGCUGUUUAAAACCAUCUCUCUCCGACUCUCUUCCUGUUUGGUUUCUCUGUUGGCUGUUUUGUUGGGUUUUGGAAGCAAUCGUUGA
Molecule: unclassified non-coding RNA, 3093 nt
Filed under: Hevea brasiliensis (rubber tree)
Lineage: Eukaryota; Viridiplantae; Streptophyta; Magnoliopsida; Malpighiales; Euphorbiaceae
Source: RNAcentral